UACGAAGGGGGCUAGCGUUGUUCGGAAUCACUGGGCGUAAAGCGCACGCAGGCGGAUCGUUAAGUCGGGGGUGAAAUCCCGAGGCUCAACCUCGGAACUGCCUUCGAUACUGGCGAUCUUUGAGUCCGGGAGAGGUGAGUGGAACUCCGAGUGUAGAGGUGAAAUUCGUAGAUAUCGAGAGGAACACCGGUGGCGAAGGCGGCCAACUGGACGAAGACUGACGCUGAGACACGAAAGCGUGGGGAGCAAACAGG
This 254-nucleotide ribosomal RNA is filed under the name uncultured bacterium. RNAcentral's name for it is "partial 16S ribosomal RNA". It matches the Rfam family "Bacterial small subunit ribosomal RNA", at positions 524 to 776 of the family's 1533-position model. The record is from RNAcentral.